RNAcentral lists this ribosomal RNA (234 nucleotides) under uncultured bacterium. Its description in RNAcentral is "partial 16S ribosomal RNA". The record is from RNAcentral.
CUGCUGCCUUCCGUAGGAGUCUGGACCGUGUCUCAGUUCCAGUGUGGGGGGCCUUCCUCUCAGAACCCCUACGCAUCGUCGCCACGGUGGGCCGUUACCCCGCCGUCAAGCUAAUGCGCCGCAUGCCCAGCCGCCACCGGAUUCCUCCUUUCGCCCGGACCGGAUGCCCGGUCCGGGCGGCAUGGGGUAUUAGGCCGGGUUUCCCCGGGUUAUCCCCCUGUGGCGGGCAGGUCC